UUGUGUUUGCUUUUUUUUUUUUUUCUUUUUUUUUUUUUUUUUUGUUUAAUAUAAUAAUUAUAAGAUAAGAGUUUCUAGUAGACUCAAAGAUAAAUGUAGUCGAUAGGGUCUAGUUUGUACCCUCUAAUCUUAUAAAACUCUUUUUCCCUCUAGCCCAACUGGGAAAUUUUAGCUUUCGGGCCAUUGUAAAUGCCGCUCAUAUUUCUAGUAACGUUGAUAGCCCCAUUGAUUUCCACUUCAUUAAACUGGGCAUUCUACGAAACAACUAGUAUAGAAUUGUCGGAAAUUUUGCAUUAGUCCCCAGUAAUGUGAAUAAUAUCUGAAAG
RNAcentral lists this non-coding RNA (326 nucleotides) under Ctenophora environmental sample. The record is from RNAcentral. Lineage: Eukaryota; Metazoa; Ctenophora.